Long non-coding RNA from Daphnia pulex (common water flea), 354 nucleotides. RefSeq lists it as uncharacterized. Lineage: Eukaryota; Metazoa; Arthropoda; Branchiopoda; Diplostraca; Daphniidae. The transcript has 4 exons. The record is from RefSeq and is a predicted model, not a curated record.
ACCCAUGUUUUUGUUGUUGUGCGAGUUUUGCCGACUAAAUCAGUCACCCACAACACAGGUUUUCUAAUCUAAAUAGAUAAAGAAUGUUUUGUUACAGUUACACUCACAAUGCUUGAUUCUUUGUCAAGUAGUAGCCAGUCCCGCUGAGAUCCUGUGUAUUUCCCAUCAAGCAUAAUUCUAAAGAGGACAUCUAUCUGGUCGCACAUCAGACACUUUGAACUGAGCACACCAUUGUCAAUGCAGACCUUCCUAAUAUGGUCUCGUGUUUCUACUAGCAUUUCGCAUGUCAUCAAUCAGUACAUCCAAAAUACAACAGUUCUACGAUGAAUAUUGAAGCGGCAUAUAGUGCACGGA